CAGAACGUGAACAUCCUCGCAACGAGCCGUGCACAGGGCUCGUGACGAACGGCUCCCUUC
RNAcentral lists this small RNA (60 nucleotides) under Sinorhizobium meliloti 2011. Its description in RNAcentral is "putative ncRNA". The record is from RNAcentral. Lineage: Bacteria; Pseudomonadati; Pseudomonadota; Alphaproteobacteria; Hyphomicrobiales; Rhizobiaceae.